This 454-nucleotide ribosomal RNA is filed under the name uncultured Acidovorax sp. RNAcentral's name for it is "bacterial SSU rRNA". It matches the Rfam family "Bacterial small subunit ribosomal RNA", at positions 924 to 1382 of the family's 1533-position model. The record is from RNAcentral. Lineage: Bacteria; Pseudomonadati; Pseudomonadota; Betaproteobacteria; Burkholderiales; Comamonadaceae.
CACAAGCGGUGGAUGAUGUGGUUAAUUCGAUGCAACGCGAAAACCUUACCACCUUUGACAUGUACGAAUCCUUUAGAGAUAGAGGAGUGCUCGAAAGAGAACCGUAACACAGGUGCUGCAUGGCUGUCGUCAGCUCGUGUCGUGAGAUGUUGGGUUAAGUCCCGCAACGAGCGCAACCCUUGUCAUUAGUUGCUACAUUCAGUUGGGCACUCUAAUGAGACUGCCGGUGACAAACCGGAGGAAGGUGGGGAUGACGUCAAGUCCUCAUGGCCCUUAUAGGUGGGGCUACACACGUCAUACAAUGGAUGGUACAAAGGGUCGCCAACCCGCGAGGGGGAGCCAAUCCCAUAAAGCCAUUCGUAGUCCGGAUCGCAGUCUGCAACUCGACUGCGUGAAGUCGGAAUCGCUAGUAAUCGUGGAUCAGAAUGUCACGGUGAAUACGUUCCCGGGUCUU